AGUACAAAGCGGGCUGGUGGCCGCUUUGCGGCACUGCCCCGGCCGCGCGCCUCCCGGGGGGCCCACACCCCUGCGUUCCUGAAACCCUUCUUUUGAAAAAUGCCCUUUCGAACGCAACCGUCCGCCCCAGAGCCACGCGGGCACGGCUCGAGGGAAGUUUGUUUCCUUUUUCAAAUUGCUCCGGUCACCUUAACGGUUUGAGUCUUCCGGAGUCACGCCCGCAGCCUCGCUGCCCCCAUCUGGCUUGGGCAGGGCCGAAGCUCGUCUCCCGCUUUAAGAGCGCGCCAGCCAUUUCUCUGCCUGCUCUUCCAGGCCGGCUGGGCGGGGGGCCUCCCAACGGCUUCCUCUCCAGUUUUCAAAGGCUGCACAUUUCACUUAACUAUUUGAAGUAUUUAUAGGCAAAUACAAUACGCAGGGAAGCUUCCCGCCCCGAGACAGCUCCUCCACGCAACCUACCACAGACUCUGUAAUUAGAGUGGCCUGAAGAAGCCGGGAGAGGCUCCAUGACCCCGGCAGGCUCUGGCCAAACCUUGCUGCGUUUCAUGGAGCCCCUCCCUGUCCGCGCCUGGGACGCACUGGCCCCAACAGGUUCCUCGACUCGAAUUCGCUGUUUGGGUUGCUCUGUGGUUUCCUCGCUGACUGAAAGUGGAUGAGAAUAAGAAGGAAACUGAGAGAUGAUCAGGCAGGCCAGCCUUCGCGAUUUAUGAAUGAGGAGCCUCCCACCCUGUAGAACUGCUUGGAUUAGAAGUGGGCAAGUUAUUUAAGCUUACAUGCAUGCUUAUAAAGCUUCUGUUUUCACAUGUAGUAAGGUGGAGGCUUGACGACAUUUACCUAAUGAGCUGUUGUUUGGAUUAAAUGAGAUGGUUGGUGCAUGGCAGUCAUUUAGCACAAGUACCUGGCAAUGUAAGAGACCAAUAAAAGCUGGGCUUUAUUUUCCCUGUUGUUAAAUUACUGCUGCUUUCCCCCAAAGUCAUCUCUGUUUAUAAACUAUUUGUCUUUCUUCUUUGUUUCCAGGACACUUUGUGCCCACCCUAUAGCCUGAUCUUCAGUGCUGAUAGCAUUGAUUUAGAAUAACUCAGAUGCUAUUAACUCUGUCCCCCUGGAAUUCAUGUUAAACCCGUAAUCCCCAGUGUGAUGGUAUUAGGAGGUGGGGAACUUUAGGAGGUAAUAAGGUCAAGACAGUGGAGCCCUCAUGAUAGGAUUAGCACUCUUAUUAGAAGAGACAGGAGAGAGAUGCUUUCUUACUGCCUUGUGAGGACACAGAAGGCAGUCUUCUGUGGACCAGGAAGAGGGCCCUUACCAAGAAUCUGAUACCGUGUUGGCAUCCUAGUCUCAGACUUCCAGCCUCUAGUACUGUAAGAAAUAAAUGUUUGUUGUUUAAGCCAUCCUGUUUAUGGUAUUUUUGUUAUAGUGGCCCAAAGUGACAAAGAUCUCAGACCAGAGGAAACAUCAAAGUCUUAACCUCUGAAGCAUUAAGAAAUGAGAAGGCACCUUCUUAGCCAUUCUAGGUAGCAACUUUCUACUCUAGUUAGGCUGAAAUGCACGGCCCUGUCUAUGUCUGUUUCAGUUAUCCUCCCUCUCUCUGAAAUCAAGUCACACAUCAUUCAUGCUACUUACUUAACACUUUGCCCUUUGCCAUCUGAUGCCACCUCCCGUACUAUUGUCUCCCAUUAUUUAACCUGUUAUUUAUUGUUUCAUGCAUUCAUUUUCAUCUUAGAGAAUAAACAUCUUGGAAUUAGGA
Molecule: long non-coding RNA, 1741 nt
Filed under: Homo sapiens (human)
Lineage: Eukaryota; Metazoa; Chordata; Mammalia; Primates; Hominidae
Description: non-protein coding lnc-DBX1-6:4
Source: RNAcentral